RNAcentral lists this ribosomal RNA (301 nucleotides) under uncultured bacterium. RNAcentral's name for it is "partial 16S ribosomal RNA". It matches the Rfam family "Bacterial small subunit ribosomal RNA", at positions 509 to 807 of the family's 1533-position model. The record is from RNAcentral.
CAGCCGCCGCGGGAAUACGUAGGUGGCAAGCGUUGUCCGGAAUUAUUGGGCGUAAAGGGCUCGCAGGCGGUUUCUUAAGUCUGAUGUGAAAGCCCCCGGCUCAACCGGGGAGGGUCAUUGGAAACUGGGAAACUUGAGUGCAGAAGAGGAGAGUGGAAUUCCACGUGUAGCGGUGAAAUGCGUAGAGAUGUGGAGGAACACCAGUGGCGAAGGCGACUCUCUGGUCUGUAACUGACGCUGAGGAGCGAAAGCGUGGGGAGCGAACAGGAUUAGAUACCCGGGUAGUCCCUGUCUCUUAUAC